This 72-nucleotide ribosomal RNA is filed under the name Calamus periacanthus. The record is from RNAcentral. Lineage: Eukaryota; Viridiplantae; Streptophyta; Magnoliopsida; Arecales; Arecaceae.
ACCCCUUGGGAGUUCUUGGUGUUGCACCAAUUGGUGCGAUCAUACCAGCACUAAUGCACCGGAUCCCGUCAG